GGCGGUGGCAGGAGUAGAAGCUGGUACGGUGGUUGGCUCGAUAGCCGCGGCGACGGAGGCUUCAGUGACAUUUUUGCCUUUAGGCGCAGCAGCAGUGGUGGGCUGAGCGCCAGGGUUGGAUGUGCCGGCGCCGGAGGAGGCUUUGACCAAUCUUCUCCUCUUGGGAGCUUUGGUGCUCUCGGCUUGGUUCUCAGCACCGCCCCGUUUUUUCACGUCGCCCUCAGUGUUGAACUUUGGGGAAAAGCGAGCCAUUCUCCUCUCGCGGGCCUUCAGGAGCUCGGCGUUCGUGAAAUUCAUAUCUUCUGUAACAAUAAAAAAUACGAUCAGUGACAACAUAGGAGACGAGAAAGGAAAUGUCAAUAAUAAAAGUGAGCUAUGGGCAACCUAAGUAUUUGGGAGUUCUUGAGAGGUCAGCGCCCUCAAGGACUGUUGUGCAGUCAAGGAUGGGAAGUGGGGCAAGGAGAUUAAGAAAGGCUUUGUCGUUGGCGGACAAAGAUUCCUCUGAAGGAUCGGUGAUCCCAUUGGGCUUCUCCGUCCAGUAAAGAGGAAAAAGGGCGGUCCCGUCUCUAAGGGUGAAUGCCUCUGGGUAGGCGGGAUGAACCGCCACACGGAAGUACUUCCGUGCGAAGGAGGACUUCGCGUUACUUUUGUGAGGAUGCAAGCACUUCCGGCCGGCUCGGGCCUUCAAGGAAAUCCAUCCUUUGUUUUUGAUGGACUUGGGGUCGACGUCGUAGA
Molecule: long non-coding RNA, 735 nt
Filed under: Lotus japonicus
Lineage: Eukaryota; Viridiplantae; Streptophyta; Magnoliopsida; Fabales; Fabaceae
Description: long non-coding RNA (LJAP_LNC002179)
Source: RNAcentral